UGCCCAUGCAGUGGAGGCAGUGUCCCUAAAUGUUUAUGCAGUAUGUUGUGACGGAGGAUGCAGUGCACAUGAAGGCAGAGACAGUGUUCCUGCAGUGGUUUCAGGGACCCCAGCAUUGUGCUGGAAUGAGGAUGCAGGGGUCAUGCAGUGGAUGCAGUGUAUCACAAUGCGGAUACACUAUGUUUUGACAGAGGAUGCAUUGCCCAUGAAGCUGGAUGCGGUGAACCUGCAGUGGUUGCAGUGCCCCCUACAUUUUCCCUGAAUGUAGAUGCAGUGCCCAUGCAGUGCAUGCAGUGUCCCACAAGGUGGAUGUGGUAUGUUGUGACAGAGGAUGCAGUGCCAACGAAGGUGCAUGCAGUGAGCCUUCAUUGAUUGCAGUGCACCUGCGUUUCCACAUCAGCUGGACAGUGUUGCUGCAGUGGUUCCAGUGCCGCCUUCUGUGUCCCUGAAUGUGAAUGCAGUGCUCAAGCAGUGAAUGCAGUGUACCUAAAGGUUUAUGCAGUUUUGUGACGGGGGAUACAGUGCCCAUGAAGGUGGAUGUGGUGAACCUGUGUUGUUGCUGUGCCCCCUAGAGUUUCCCUGAAUGUGGAUGCAGUGCCCAUGCAGUGCAUGCUGUGUCCCACAAGGUGGAGGCAGUCUGUUGGGACGGAGCAUGCAGUACCCCUGAAGGUGGAUUCCGGGAGCCUGCAGUGAUUGCAGUGCACUUGCAGUGCCACUUCAGCUGGCUGCAGUGUCCCUGCAGUGGUUGCAGUGCCCCCUGCAUUGUCCUGGAAUGUGGAUGCAGUGCUCAUGAAGGGGAUGCAGUGUCCCACAAGGUGGAUGCAGUAUGUUUUGAUGGAGGAUGCAGGGCCCAUGAAGGUGGAUGCAGUGUCCCUGCAGUGCUUGCAUUGACCCCUUCAUUGUCUGCAAAAGUGGAUGCAGUAGUCAUGCAGUGGAUGCAGUGUCCCACAAGGUGGAUGCAGUAUGUUGUGAUGGAGGAUGCAGGGCCCAUAAAGGUGGAUGCAGUGAUGAUGCUGUGGGUGCAGUGCCGCCUACAGUUCCCUCAAUGUGGAUACAGUACCCAUGCAGUUGUUGCUGUGUCCCACAAAGUGGAUGUCGUAUGUAGUGAUGGAAGAUGCAGUGCCCACGUAGGUGGAUGCAGUGAGCCUGAAGUGGUUGCAGUGCCCCCUGAAGUUUACCUGAAAGUGGAUGCAGUGGUCAUGCAAUGGAUGCAGUGUCCCUAAAGGUGGAUGCCUUAUGUUGUGAUGCAGGAUUUAGUGAUCAUGAAGGAGGAUGUAUUGAUCCUGCAGUCAUUUCAGUGCACCAGCAGUGCUACUUCAGCUGGCUGCAGUGUCCCUGCAGUUGGUGCAGUGCCCCGUCCUGUGUCUCUGAGUGUGGAUGCACUUCUCAUGCUGUGGAUGCAGAAUACCAAAAGUUGGCUGCCAUAUGUUGAGACAGAGGAUGCAGAGCCCUGGAGUUGGAUGCAGU
RNAcentral lists this long non-coding RNA (1467 nucleotides) under Equus caballus (horse). Its description in RNAcentral is "lncRNA (ENSECAG00000048528.1)". Lineage: Eukaryota; Metazoa; Chordata; Mammalia; Perissodactyla; Equidae. The record is from RNAcentral.